UAGAGGAUAGUAUAAUAGGUAGUUACUUAAAGUUUUGGGCUUUAAUGUAUAGGCUCGUAGCCUGUUCUUCUA
Molecule: transfer RNA, 72 nt
Filed under: Nephrurus laevissimus
Lineage: Eukaryota; Metazoa; Chordata; Lepidosauria; Squamata; Carphodactylidae
Description: tRNA-Gln
Source: RNAcentral